RNAcentral lists this long non-coding RNA (2872 nucleotides) under Homo sapiens (human). Its description in RNAcentral is "HSALNT0103241". Lineage: Eukaryota; Metazoa; Chordata; Mammalia; Primates; Hominidae. The record is from RNAcentral.
AAUACUUCAACAAGCAUUUAUUAAACGCCUACUAUGUGCUCAGCACUAUACUAGGCACUCGGGGGUGCAGAGAUACAAAUGUAAAAGUUAUUAUUCCUGCCCUCAAGGAGCUUACAAUUUAAUUUUGGAAAUAAAUACAAAUAUGAAACUGUAACACAGAGUGCUAGAAAAUAAUUACAAAGCAACAUAUUAGUAAGUACAUGGACCACAGUACAAACUCAAAAGAUAAGUGCUGAGGCAGCACAGAAUGAGGGAGGUCAUCGCAUGAGGUGAUGUCAAUCAGGGAGAGCUCAGUCAGAAGAUAUAAAGGAAGAAAGGCUUUGAAGGGAGUGAUGAACAUGAGCUGGGACCAAAGAGCAAUCUAAGCAAAAAGAAUAGCAUGAGAAAGGCACAGAGGCAAGAGCUUGUAAGACAUCAGUAGAAGGCUGUAGGAAGUUUGAAUCUGUUGAAUCAAGGUGAAUAUGCUAGAGAGUAAUGAAGGCUGAUGAAUAUUAGGCAUAGAGGUAAUGGAGAAUUUGGAACACCACUGCUCCAUAGGAAUUAUCUACUGGGUGUUACUUAGUGAAAAUGAAAUUUUACAAUAGAGAUAUUGUAAAAAUGGGUGUUUGAGGAGGAUCGUCUUUGAAAAAUUAUCUACUGGGUGUUACUGAAAAUGAAAAUUUUACAAUACGGAUAUUGUAAAAAUGGAGUUUGAGGAGGAGCACCUUAGAAACUUUAUACAAGAUGGGGAUCCUGGGAGCAAGGAAAUUGGAAAAAAAAGAAUUACAGUAACCUGGGCCUCAGAUCUACAUGAAAAGCUAUAAUGGGAUGAGAGAAAUGGGAGAUCAAGCCUCAAGGAGAAAACUGAUUAAAAACUGGACUGACAGCAAGUUUUUGGACAUGGAGAAUGGAGAGCAGAAAAAGAUAACUCCAAGGCUGGGGUAAAAAUAUAAAGGUGGUGACACUUUUCAGGGCAAAGGAAUUACGCAAUGAGGCCUGUUUAAAAAGAAAACGGGGGCUGGGGAUAUAUGGUGAUGAAUCCUGUUUUCAAAUAUCAAGUUGUACAGGUACCUGUGGAAAAUUCCAAAAGUCACAAACUGACCCACAGGGUGGGAAAAAUGAAGUCAUUCGAAUACAAAUAGUAGGUAUAAACAAUCAAAAUGGAUAAAUAGGAGUAUAGAAAAUGAAGUGAAUAAAAGACAGGGAGAUUAUUCUCAGUGGAGAAGAGGAGAAAGGGGAGUGGGUGGAAAGAUCAACUAAAAAAAGAAAGACAGAUAUUAGAGAAAAAGGAUCCCACAAGCCAAAGGAGGGAGAAUUCAACAAUAUAAAAUAUAAAUUAGAUCAAAAAAGACAAGAAAUAAUAAUAAAAAAAGGCCUUAUUAUUUGUCCACUGGUGAGUCUAAGAACAUUUCACUGGAAUGCUAAGUAUGAAAGCCAGUAAAAAGAAGUUUUAAGAACAGAUUAAUGAAAAAGGGGGGUUGAAAAAUCAAAGAUAUGUUUGAAAAACCAUGAACAAUAGAGGAGAAACAGAAUGGUAGUUGGAAAUGGGCAAUGAGGAUGAAAGCAUUUCACAUUUUAUGCUGUAGAUGAACUUACUAUUGUCAUCCUAACUGACCAUCUGCCUGGCCUGGUACAUGGAUAUUUCAUUUCCCUCCACAAUUCUACUUUCCCUUUGGCAGUUUGGAGAAAAAUAUAUUUGAAUUUAUUAUUGCUUUAUCCUCCCAAUUACUCUGUUAAAUAUGUUUUGUUUGCACAAUUUAGCUUUGUAGUACUACAAAGCAUCAACACUUAAAAAUGAUAUAAUUGUAACCCCAAAAAGCAUUUUCCACCAAUUUUCCAGUAAUUGUAAUGUAUUUGCACUCUACUGCACAUUCUUUUCCCCAGUACCUCUCAUGACAAGCGCUACAUAUUUUUAAAAAGCUGGUUAGAAUUACCAUGUUCAUUAUACACACCUUAGCACAGUAGUCAGAACAGGCUCUAGAAUCAAACUGUGUGGGUCAGAAUCAGUUUUAUCACAUACUGGCUGGGUGAUAUUGGUCAGCUCACUCAACUAAGCCUCCGUUUCCUCAUUUAUAAAAUGGGGGAUAAAAUAAUACCUAUUGAUAUGGUUUGGCUGUGUCCCAUCCAAAUCUCAUCUUGAAUUGUAGCUCCCACAAUUCCCACGUGUCGUGGGUGGGACCAAGUGGGAGGUAAUUGAAUCACGGGGGCAGAACUUUCCUGUGCUGUUCUUGUGAUAGUGAAUAAGUCUCACAAGAUCGGACGGUUUUAUAAAGAGUUCCCCUGCACAAGUUCUCUCUUUGCCUGCUGCCAUCCAUGUAUAAGACAUGAUUUGCUCCUCCUUGCCUUCCACCAUGAUUGUGAGGCGUCCCCAGCCAUGUGGAACUGAGUCCAUUAAACCUCUUUCCUUUAUAAAUUACCCAGUGUCAGGUAUGUCUUUAAUAGCAGCAUGAGAACAGACUAAUACAUUUAUCAUGAGCCUGAGAAAGGCAUAACAGGGUUGGGCACAUAGUAAGUGCUCAAUAAACGUCGGCUAUUAUUAUUUGGAGACUCAGAACCAAGAGUAAAGUUAACUGCUCUGUUUGGGAAUCAACCACCAUAUUCUAGCACUGCACCUUGCUCCAUGGAGAAAAUCUCUGAAACCUAACAUGCCUCUCCCAGGGCUAUGUUGGAUGGCACUAAUUUUUCUAGUCAUAUUAUUUUCUCCAAAUUUAUGCCACAUGCUUAGUAAUUCUGAGAUUUAAGUAAUCUGGCUACAUAUUACUCUUAAUACUGACACAUAAAGAGACUUUAGCUAGUACAUCUGUAUACAUUUCAAUGUGUUGCUCUGGUCUAUGGCCAUACCACCCUGAAUGCACCCAAUUUUGUUAAUAUGUUGCAUUGCUAAAAGGACUUU